This 254-nucleotide ribosomal RNA is filed under the name uncultured bacterium. RNAcentral's name for it is "partial 16S ribosomal RNA". It matches the Rfam family "Bacterial small subunit ribosomal RNA", at positions 524 to 776 of the family's 1533-position model. The record is from RNAcentral.
UACGUAGGUGGCAAGCGUUGUCCGGAUUUAUUGGGCGUAAAGAGCUCGUAGGCGGUUUCGUAAGUCGGAUGUGAAAACUCCAGGCUCAACUUGGAGACGCCAUUCGAUACUGCGAUGACUUGAGUCCGGUAGGGGAGUGUGGAAUUCCUGGUGUAGCGGUGAAAUGCGCAGAUAUCAGGAGGAACACCGGCGGCGAAGGCGGCACUCUGGGCCGGUACUGACGCUGAGGAGCGAAAGCGUGGGUAGCAAACAGG